UUACUAAAUGCUGCCUUUUAGUUCACAUGCAUAUCAUUUUACUUUUAGAUUUUUAUACAUAUAAAUUCAUAUCAUCGAUUUAUUUAUAAAAAUUCUAAGAUCAAAUCUUAUGUAUACAUUUAUAGAUUAAAUAGUUUAAUCUAAUAUCUUUCAUUGAAAAAUUUUUGGAAUGCAUGCAUGAAAUCUCUGCGCAUCCCAACAGUGGUAUCAGUGCC
RNAcentral lists this long non-coding RNA (215 nucleotides) under Elaeis guineensis (African oil palm). RNAcentral describes it as "long non-coding RNA (EGUI_LNC041548)". Lineage: Eukaryota; Viridiplantae; Streptophyta; Magnoliopsida; Arecales; Arecaceae. The record is from RNAcentral.